AAAAGCUUAGCUGAUCUAAUCUUUGAGCUAGUAGUAAUAUUUUGCAGUUCAAGUGGGACCAUACUCUUAAAUGUAUAAUGUUUAGGAGACACGUAAAUAAAUUCACCAUCGGUUUCUCCAAAACAGUUGUUUAUGUGAUCAUCAUUUUCCCAUUAGUUUCUCAAGGAAGCAGAGACACCAUCCAUGGUUACAGUCACAGAG
Molecule: long non-coding RNA, 201 nt
Filed under: Trifolium pratense (red clover)
Lineage: Eukaryota; Viridiplantae; Streptophyta; Magnoliopsida; Fabales; Fabaceae
Description: long non-coding RNA (TPRA_LNC001940)
Source: RNAcentral